UCCCUGAUGGUCUAGUGGUCAGGAUUCGGCGCUCUCACCGCCACGGCCAGGGUUCGAUUCCUGGUCAGGGAA
Molecule: transfer RNA, 72 nt
Filed under: Danionella translucida
Lineage: Eukaryota; Metazoa; Chordata; Actinopteri; Cypriniformes; Danionidae
Also listed under: 1 other name
Rfam family: tRNA
About the family: Transfer RNA (tRNA) molecules are approximately 80 nucleotides in length. Their secondary structure includes four short double-helical elements and three loops (D, anti-codon, and T loops). Further hydrogen bonds mediate the characteristic L-shaped molecular structure. tRNAs have two regions of fundamental functional importance: the anti-codon, which is responsible for specific mRNA codon recognition, and the 3' end, to which the tRNAs corresponding amino acid is attached (by aminoacyl-tRNA synthetases). tRNAs cope with the degeneracy of the genetic code in two manners: having more than one tRNA (with a specific anti-codon) for a particular amino acid; and 'wobble' base-pairing, i.e. permitting non-standard base-pairing at the 3rd anti-codon position.
Source: Rfam by way of RNAcentral